UACGAAGGGGGCUAGCGUUGCUCGGAAUCACUGGGCGUAAAGCGCACGUAGGCGGAUUGUUAAGUCAGGGGUGAAAUCCUGGAGCUCAACUCCAGAACUGCCUUUGAUACUGGCGAUCUUGAGUCCGGGAGAGGUGAGUGGAACUGCGAGUGUAGAGGUGAAAUUCGUAGAUAUUCGCAUGAACACCAGUGGCGAAGGCGGCUCACUGGCCCGGUACUGACGCUGAGGUGCGAAAGCGUGGGGAGCAAACAGG
Molecule: ribosomal RNA, 253 nt
Filed under: uncultured bacterium
Lineage: Bacteria
Description: partial 16S ribosomal RNA
Rfam family: Bacterial small subunit ribosomal RNA
Source: RNAcentral